This 151-nucleotide unclassified non-coding RNA is filed under the name uncultured fungus. Its description in RNAcentral is "sequence contains ITS1, 5.8S rRNA gene". Lineage: Eukaryota; Fungi. The record is from RNAcentral.
UUAUUUCUUGUAUUUUAUUCAGACACAAAGACUGAGUAAAGCAUAAAAGCAGCGCCAAGGCGCCGAAGCACAUCUUGCUUCCACAGGUUUGCAAGGUUGAAGGCCAAGAGGCCAUUCAGUAAUGAUCCCUCCGCAGGUUCACCUACGGAGA